CCCUUAGAUGUUCUGGGCCGCACGCGCGCUACACUGACUGCUCCAACAAGUUACCUGGGCUGACAAGCAUCCGGGAAAUCUUGCAAAGGCAGUCGUGAUGGGGAUAGAUUCUUGUAAUUUUUGAUCUUCAACGAGGAAUUCCUAGUAAACGCAAGUCAUCAGCUUGCAUUGAUUACGUCCCUGCCCUUUGUACACACCGCCCGUCGCAUCUACCGAUUGAAUGGAGAGGUAAAAUCUUCGGACCGUGACGCUUGGGAGUCAAAUCUCGGGCUGUCGUGGGAAGUGGAUUAAACCUUUCUAUUUAGAGGAAGGUAAAGUCGUAACA
Molecule: ribosomal RNA, 325 nt
Filed under: uncultured eukaryote
Lineage: Eukaryota
Description: partial 18S ribosomal RNA
Rfam family: Eukaryotic small subunit ribosomal RNA
Source: RNAcentral